GAGAAGAACGCAGCGAAAUGCGAUAAGUAAUGUGAAUUGCAGAAUUCAGUGAAUCAUCGAGUCUUUGAACGCACAUUGCGCCCCCUGGUAUUCCGGGGGGCAUGCCUGUCCGAGCGUCAUUGCUGCCCUCAAGCACGGCUUGUGUGUUGGGCCUCCGUCCUCCUCCCGGGGGACGGGCCCGAAAGGCAGCGGCGGCACCGCGUCCGGUCCUCGAGCGUAUGGGGCUUCGUCACCCGCUCUUGUAGGCCCGGCCGGCGCUUGCCGACACAUCAAUCUUUUUUCCAGGUUGACCUCGGAUCAGGUAGGGAUACCCGCUGAACUUAAGCAUAUCAAUAAGCGGAGGA
Molecule: unclassified non-coding RNA, 344 nt
Filed under: soil metagenome
Description: partial contains 5.8S ribosomal RNA, internal transcribed spacer 2, and large subunit ribosomal RNA
Rfam family: 5.8S ribosomal RNA (bases 3-119)
Source: RNAcentral